This 340-nucleotide long non-coding RNA is filed under the name Mytilus galloprovincialis (Mediterranean mussel). The record is from RNAcentral. Lineage: Eukaryota; Metazoa; Mollusca; Bivalvia; Mytilida; Mytilidae.
GUGUUUUUUAUUUGUUUAUUGUGCUUAUGACCAAUUAGAUGGGUCAAUUCCUUCCAAUUAGUUUUUACAGAAUGUUCUUAUGUUGUGUUAGUAUAUCACUGUCCCAGUUUAGGAAAAUGGUUGACACUCAAAAACAUGCUUUUCCCCACUGCAUCCUUUUUGUAAUCUGUCAUCCAGUUGUUGCAGUUGUUUGAUGUCUGCUAUCAUUUUUCUUUCUUUUAUUUUUGUAGUAUAGGAUUUUUUUCUCAUUCAAAUUUUUACAUACAUGUAUAUAUGGACUUUUGUUAUUUUUCUUUUUCUAUUGUAUUAAUCUGUAAAACAGUUUUAAAUCAGUAGGAAC